UGGGGAAUUUUGGACAAUGGGGGAAACCCUGAUCCAGCCAUCCCGCGUGUGCGAUGAAGGCCUUCGGGUUGUAAAGCACUUUUGGCAGGAAAGAAACGUCAUGGGUUAAUACCCCGUGAAACUGACGGUACCUGCAGAAUAAGCACCGGCUAACUACGUGCCAGCAGCCGCGGUAAUACGUAGGGUGCAAGCGUUAAUCGGAAUUACUGGGCGUAAAGCGUGCGCAGGCGGUUCGGAUAGAAAGAUGUGAAAUCCCAGAGCUCAACUUUGGAACUGCAUUUUUAACUACCGGGCUAGAGUGUGUCAGAGGGAGGUGGAAUUCCGCGUGUAGCAGUGAAAUGCGUAGAUAUGCGGAGGAACACCGAUGGCGAAGGCAGCCUCCUGGGAUAACACUGACGCUCAUGCACGAAGGCGUGGGGAGCAAACAGG
RNAcentral lists this ribosomal RNA (429 nucleotides) under Acidobacteriota bacterium. Its description in RNAcentral is "Acidobacteria bacterium partial 16S ribosomal RNA". It matches the Rfam family "Bacterial small subunit ribosomal RNA", at positions 355 to 776 of the family's 1533-position model. The record is from RNAcentral. Lineage: Bacteria; Pseudomonadati; Acidobacteriota.